This 73-nucleotide transfer RNA is filed under the name Ailuropoda melanoleuca (giant panda). It matches the Rfam family "tRNA". Rfam says of the family: Transfer RNA (tRNA) molecules are approximately 80 nucleotides in length. Lineage: Eukaryota; Metazoa; Chordata; Mammalia; Carnivora; Ursidae. The record is from Rfam by way of RNAcentral.
ACCUGGCUGGCCCAGUCGUAAGAGCAUGUGACUCUUAAUCUCGGGGUCGUGAGUUCAAGUGCCACGCUGGGUG